CAUGCGCAGAGCCUCCCCGCGGCCCCGUUGCCCGGGGCUCUUUGCCGGCGGGCUAGCGGACAGCCAGGCGUGUGGGCCGGGGCGGUCCCGGUGCUGCUGUGCCCGCCGAGCCCCUCAGGUGAGAUUUUCAGGCAGUCUUUAAUAACAAAAAUAAUCAGAGAAGAAAGCGCUCUGGAAAACGGAAUUGCUCUUUCCCAGAAGAAAAUGAAAACCUUUUAAAAUUUGGUGCUGGUAAAGACCCUGAAAAUCCCGAGUGUUAAGAGACAAGCGUGUGUUGCAAUUGUUAUUUUAGAAAAAUAUUAGAAAAU
Chroicocephalus ridibundus (black-headed gull) is the source of this 308-nucleotide long non-coding RNA. RefSeq lists it as uncharacterized. Lineage: Eukaryota; Metazoa; Chordata; Aves; Charadriiformes; Laridae. The transcript has 3 exons. The record is from RefSeq and is a predicted model, not a curated record.